AUACGGAGGGUGCAAGCGUUACUCGGAAGCACUGGGCGUAAAGCGCGCGCAGGCAGCUAUUUAAGUUGGAUGUGAAAGCCUACGGCUCAACCGUAGAACUGCAUCCAAAACUAUUUAGCUAGAGUGUGGGAGAGGAAGAUGGAAUUAGUUGUGUAGGGGUAAAAUCCGUAGAGAUACCGAGGAAUACCAAAAGCGAAGGCAAUCUUCUGGAACACUACUGACGCUGAGGCGCGAAAGCGUGGGGAGCAAACAGGAUUAGAAACCCUAGUAGUCC
RNAcentral lists this ribosomal RNA (274 nucleotides) under uncultured bacterium. Its description in RNAcentral is "partial 16S ribosomal RNA". It matches the Rfam family "Bacterial small subunit ribosomal RNA", at positions 523 to 796 of the family's 1533-position model. The record is from RNAcentral.